This 413-nucleotide ribosomal RNA is filed under the name uncultured bacterium. RNAcentral's name for it is "bacterial SSU rRNA". It matches the Rfam family "Bacterial small subunit ribosomal RNA", at positions 355 to 787 of the family's 1533-position model. The record is from RNAcentral.
UGGGGAAUAUUGCACAAUGGGGGAAACCCUGAUGCAGCGACGCCGCGUGAAGGAUGAAGUAUUUCGGUAUGUAAACUUCUAUCAGCAGGGAAGAAAAUGACGGUACCUGACUAAGAAGCCCCGGCUAACUACGUGCCAGCAGCCGCGGUAAUACGUAGGGGGCAAGCGUUAUCCGGAUUUACUGGGUGUAAAGGGAGCGUAGACGGCAUGGCAAGUCUGAAGUGAAAGGCAGGGGCUCAACCCUGACUGCUUUGGAAACUGUCCAUCUAGAGUGCCGGAGAGGUAAGCGGAAUUCCUAGCGUAGCGGUGAAAUGCGUAGAUAUUAGGAGGAACACCAGUGGCGAAGGCGGCUUACUGGACGGUAACUGACGUUGAGGCUCGAAAGCGUGGGGAGCAAACAGGAUUAGAUACCC